This 253-nucleotide ribosomal RNA is filed under the name uncultured bacterium. RNAcentral describes it as "partial 16S ribosomal RNA". It matches the Rfam family "Bacterial small subunit ribosomal RNA", at positions 524 to 776 of the family's 1533-position model. The record is from RNAcentral.
UACAGAGGUCCCAAGCGUUGUUCGGAUUCACUGGGCGUAAAGGGCGCGUAGGCGGCACUGUUAGUCAGGCGUGAAAGUCCUGGGCUCAACCUGGGAACUGCGCUUGAUACGGCAGAGCUAGAGGAUGGAAGAGGCUCGCGGAAUUCCCAGUGUAGAGGUGAAAUUCGUAGAUAUUGGGAAGAACACCGGUGGCGAAGGCGGCGAGCUGGUCCAUUACUGACGCUGAGGCGCGACAGCGUGGGGAGCAAACAGG